UGCUGCUGGAGGACCCGGAGGCUCCGACGAGGCCGAUCCGAGCCGGGCUGGGGCAUCACAGCCUCCAAAUCUGAGUUAGAGCUCAUUACCCGCAAUUAAUGCUGCUCCCAGUUCACACCAGUCACCGGGAGCGAGGGGCCCGGCGCUCCCCAGUUCAGCCCCAGCGGGUGAAGCCCCCCCGGGACUCUCCCCCCGCCUCCCUUUGGGGUCAGGCACGGGGAGCUGUGGAGCAACCCCGGGAUUCUGGAUUUACCAGCCCUCCUCCCACUGCGGGCAGCCUGUAAUUAGCCGCGCGCUUAAUGAGUUUUGGGGAAGUUUUGGGUGCAGCCCGCCCGUGGUGCCCUCCCUCCCUCCCUCCCUCCCGCGGGACCCACAAAUAGCAGGGAGCGCCGCGGAGCUCCAGCAUUCCCGAGCCGCUCCCGGGACUCCCAAACCGCUUCCCGAGGGACGAUGGAGCCCUGGAUCCUCCUGGUGGGGGCAGGAAUUGCCCUGGGCUGCGUGUCCGGCCACCUGUACACGCCCCCCGAGUCCUGCGAGGGACGCUGCGGGGAGCCCUUCAGCGAGGAGGACGAGUGUCAUUGUCACCCCGAGUGCGGGACACAGCACAACUGCUGCGAGGACUACGAGAGGCACUGCGGGCCCGGUGAGCGCUCGGGGACCGGGAUUUGGGGUGUGCCUUCCCCUGCUGGGGGUGCCAGGGGUUGGUCCCGAGGCUCUGCGGGGUCCUGGGGAGCCCCCGGGGUGUCCCCAACCCCCUGAGAUCUUUUUCCGCUCGGUUUUGCAGGUGGGGAAGGGGCCGAGGGUGGAGCUCGGAGCCGCGGUGAGUCAGGAGGGACAGGACCUCCCCCAGGUGCCCCAGGAAUGUCCCCACCCUGUUCCAGGGAUGUCCCCCCUGUCCCUCGGGUGUCACCUCCUUGUUCCUCGGGUGUCCCCCCUGUCCCUCUGGGUGUCACCUCCUUGAUCCUCGGGUGUCCCCCCUGUCCCUCGGGUGUCACCUCCUUGUUCCUCGGGUGUCCCCCC
RNAcentral lists this long non-coding RNA (1020 nucleotides) under Parus major (Great Tit). Its description in RNAcentral is "lncRNA (ENSPMJG00000004123.1)". The record is from RNAcentral. Lineage: Eukaryota; Metazoa; Chordata; Aves; Passeriformes; Paridae.